ACGAGCGCACCCUCGCCUUUAGUUGCCAGCAUGUUUGGGUGGGCACUCUAGAGGAACUGCCGGUGACAAGCCGGAGGAAGGUGGGGAUGACGUCAAGUCCUCAUGGCCCUUAUGUCCUGGGCUACACACGUGCUACAAUGGCGGUGACAGUGGGAAGCCAGGCAGCGAUGCCGUGCUGAUCUCCAAAAGCCGUCUCAGUUCGGAUUGCACUCUGCAACUCGGGUGCAUGAAGGUGGAAUCGCUAGUAAUCGUGGAUCAGCAUGCCACGGUGAAUACGUUCCCGGGCCUUGUACACACCGCCCGU
Molecule: ribosomal RNA, 304 nt
Filed under: uncultured Alphaproteobacteria bacterium
Lineage: Bacteria; Pseudomonadati; Pseudomonadota; Alphaproteobacteria
Description: bacterial SSU rRNA
Rfam family: Bacterial small subunit ribosomal RNA
Source: RNAcentral